AUCGUUUGCUGGGAGCUUCUGGCUUGUGUCGAGGUUUAAAUUAUUCCGUUCCUUUCUUUAUCCGUUAACAAUUUCGUUUUCAUUUCUUUUAGUUUCACUUUCCUUUCUGCUGUAGUUUCAUUUUUUUUUCGAAGAACGCUUUUGUUUUUGUUUUUUGACUAAAGACAGCAAGUGGAGUCCACCCGUGUCGGAUCCGUCUGAAUAAUAUCAAAAAAUCUUCGACAGAGAAACUGAAACUAUGCCACUGAAGAAGACAGUCGGAGGAAAAAUGGCUGCAAAAAAGAAAACGAAGGCUAAGACAGCUAGACCAAAAGUGGCUUCAAAAAAGAAAACGAAGGCUAAUACAGUCAGAGCAAAAUCAGCUUCGAGAAAGAAAACAAAGACUAAGCCAGAAGUGAAUCAGGGACCAAAAAAAGGAAAAAAAGUUACAGUUCAAGGAAACAAGCCUGCACCUCCCAAAAUGAAAGCAAAUCCAAACACAGGAAUGAAGUCAACAAACAACAAACCAAAAGCUGGUGCAGUGAAAAGAGUGGUGGGACCGCAGAAGAGAAAAAAUCCUAAUCCAGCAGAAGGCCAGAAUCUAGCAAAAAAGAAGAGAAAGUCUCCAGCAUGUAAUACGCAAAGCAUGUCCGUGAUGGCUCUUCCUAAAGUCCAGCGAUCAAUUGCAUCUCCUCCGACCAUUCUUCCUGUUUGUAACGUCACGGUUCAAACAUCUGCCAGGAGCGAUUCUUGCCAGCCUUCAGGUGGCCCAAUGAAUCGAUUUAAUAACGGUGACACGAUCAACCAAGGAGUUACUAACAAUGCUGCAGUGUGUGCACAGAGAGAUAAGAUAGACAACUCUCAAUCUGGAAGCGACAAUAUUCAAGAUGAAAACCUGUUGUUUCUAAGGAAAAACAAUGUUAAGUUAAUCGACAGGCUAAAAAAUGUCGUCGAAAUCCUUGAUCGCCUCCAAUUAACCAACGAAAAAGCAGCGAUAGUGCGAGCAGAGAAGAUCAGGAGAGGAUGAGGAAGCUUCUGGAGUUCACGACCAGCACACAUGGUGCAGAACGUCUAGUCACAGCCUUGUGGAGCUGCGCAAGCGAUGUCAUGGAAGACCUGACCAACACCAACUGAAGAUCAACGAAUAGAUUCCAGCUCUGACGCAUCACUUCGAUUUCAUCGAUGAGUGAACGUCAACGGGUCAUAUCAUUUUUCUAAUGUUUUUAUCUAAAGUUGUUUGUUGUCUUAUUUUAUUAUUAUUAUUUUAUUUUUUUAUUUUUUUACAUACAUGUAUUUUUCUAUACCCAAGAUGUGACUUCUGACAUGAAGUUAAAAAAAAAAGGGAAAUUUUUAUAUCAGGUUCUUAAAUAAUGUUUUUAAAGAAAUUGCUGACAAUCAAGCUCAAACUUUUUCCAUCUCAAGCAAAGUCUAUUUUAUGCAAAUAAUUUAAGCAGUGGGUCUUCUUAGACAUGUUACCUGUUUAGCUAAGUUCAAUUGAACUCUUUAUUAGUCGUACUCUAAUACGCUAAGUGAUGCACCUCCACCCACUUUUUAACAAAAGAUUAAAUAGUAAAGACAAUUUUUCACAGCCUUCUUUGCUCAUAUUUACCAAGUCUGCCAAUAUUAGUGGAGGCCACUGUAUGUAAAUAAAUAAAUAAAUUAAAUAAAUAAAUAAAUAAAUAAAACUAUACAAAAAUGGUGGUGUUGAAUAUCUGUCUUAGUAAAAUGUGGUUAUAACGUUAUGAUCAGCCAUCAACUGACUAUAAUAUAUCUAUAUAAUAGUCAGCUGAUGGCUGAUCAUAUUGUGUUUUAAAAACUUGUUUAGUUUGCUCUACAGUCAUGUGUGCAGCUCUACUCAUCAAAACGUUCUCCAAUUUCUACUUCUGUUAGUUGUCACUGUGCUCUCCUUAUCAACAGGUGGCAGCACUACACAACAUGAUCAUCCUCUUGAUCUUAAGUACAAAAUUAUUUGUCAUUUGUCGUGUGAAGAAACUGGAUAACAUCUAGAGCAAACCCUAUGAUGGGUAAAGCUUUAUCUUGGCCAGAAAUGUAGACAAUGAGAAACAGUUUCGUAGGUAUUAAAACAUUCAGGGGGCAUGCGUCUAUGGGUAAAUAAUCAACAACAGGGUGGUGUGUUGUACCCUGGUACCCCAGUAACAGCAUGCUCUGAAAUGUUUGUCUUCCUCUUAUAAUCCAGCAAUUUGGCAGCAUUUACAAUUUCUCAUUUAUUAAUCAUACUGUUUAUCCAUUCAUAGAUGCAUUUACAUGCAGCUGGCACUAUUUUCAGACCUGCGCUUAUAGAAAAUGAGUCAACACCUUCUGAUCAAUCAGAAUUAAGCCGUGAUGAGCCUGGGGCUCCAAAUUGGCAAAGCUACUACCUCACAAAGAUUUCUACUGAAGGUCGUGAGUUCAAAUCUCAGCUCUGCCAGGCUGCCACUGUUGGGCCCUUGAGCAAGGGGUUCAUUUUUGCCAUCUGCAUCUCUGUGAGUAUCACUUAUGUCUCGCAGAUGUUAUAAACAUGAUUGAGAGUUUGGACGAGGGCUUGUUGCUGCAUGAUUUUUACAGUUUCGACACACGAUGUCUACACACAUUAAAACAGGAGCACGUAACGGCUCUUGGUGUGUACAGUACCGGCAUAAUGUUCUGACUGGCACUAACGCUUCUAAACACAUGAAUUAUGAAAAUAAUAUGACAUUUAGAUAUGCUGUAAGAGAAGCAUGGGUGUGAGGUAAUUUAUUCCUACUAACAGUGUAGUAGUUGCACAGAAAAAUUCUCAGAGGUGAGUCCCAGGCGUUUUUCAUUUUGGCCAAACACCCCACAUAUUCAAUUUUAUUUUAUCUGUAUAGUGU
Molecule: long non-coding RNA, 2828 nt
Organism: Ictalurus punctatus (channel catfish)
Lineage: Eukaryota; Metazoa; Chordata; Actinopteri; Siluriformes; Ictaluridae
Source: Ensembl